UCGACUUCAUGCUGAAUGUUCACAAUCGAUUACAUGUAUGAACCUAAUUUUACUUUCUUUUUAAUUUCAAUCUAUUUAUUGAUUAUUUUGACUGCAGUUCCUUAUUGCAAUAUUUCACUAAGAUUAUUGCUAAGUUAAAAGUUUUUUAGAUCUAUCAAAACAUUCUGUCAAAGAGGUAAAGAGAAUUGCAUAAGAACUAAUUGUUAUGUAUUCUCUAUUUUCAUUCUUGUAACUGUAACCAUUAACUUAGAAUCUAACCAUUUCAUUCCUGAUAGCUUACUUCACUGUAACCAUUAACUUAGAAUCUAACCAUUUCAUUCCUGAUAUCUUACUUCAUUGCCUAACCACAUUCCAUCUUAUUCUCUCUGAUCUUUCGAUAUACUUACUAGGGUAUCUGAAAUGAGGAACUUUAACAUUGUAUCAUCUACGUUAUUGCAUAAGCACAAGGGGUGUGGUAGAUCUUCCAGAAGUUAUGGUAGAAGGCAUAUCCGACGAGGCCAUUUUAUUAUGUUUUGAUGAAUUCAUGGUAUGUCAGUAUAGUAUGGAACUCAGAAAGUUUUAUUUUUCCUAUUCACUAUGUUUUUAAGGGGAUUAAAGAAGCAGAGACACAGAUGCUUUGAGUCAUGAAGAUGAAGCACGAGGAAAGGUAGGGAGCUUGAGGCGUUUGGCUAAGUUGAAGAGUGAAAAACUGGAUGAAGAGUAUUCUGAAAAAACUCGUGCUUGCUGGAAACCGAAGGAAGAAGAAAAAAAGGUCGGAAAAGCUCAAGAUUUUGGAAAAUUUGCUUUGUGAUUACAACGUGAUGAAAAUGAGAAUGCAUGUGGAGAUUGAUGGGUUGUUAAGCAAAAUUGAAGCAUCCAAACAACUACUGGUAUAACCAAAUCUCUUCUUUGACUAUUUCUCAAGUAACUGUGACAAUUACAUAAUUUCCUUGUGGCAAGUUUCUUUAUAAAUAGACAAAGAAGAGAUUAAGUUAUACCGGUACUUGUUUGGUUGCUUCCAUUCUUCUUAACAAACAUGCAAUCUCCAUAUGUAUUCUCAUUUUUAUCUUGUAGAAAUCGCAAUGUGAGUUCUCAAAAGUCUUGAGCUAUUCCAAUUUUUUUCUCCUGAUUUCCUCCAUUUCCUGCUAGCAUAGUUUGGAGAGUUUUUCAGAACACUCUACCUCUAUUUUCUUUCUCAUUAGCCUAGCGAACCAUCUCAAACUCCUUGCUUCUCCUGAUGCAUCAUCUGCACGACUCUGAAACAUCUGUGCCUCUACUUCUUUGAUCUGUACAAUGCUUUUCAAGCUAUCUCCCUCGUAUUUAUUCGAUGGUUUCAUGGACAUUUCAUCUUCAAUCGCUUUGCUAGGCAUGAAAGAAGUGUUAACAGUUGGGUUCAAUUGGUGUGAAUGAAAAAUAGAGGGACACAACUCUUCGAGAAAAAAGACACUAUUUCGAAAAAAGGGUGACUGCUCGGUUAGAUGUGACUGUUCAGAAAAGACAUGUUGUUUCGGAAUGGACAGACAUGACUGUUCCAAAAUGAUACAGCCUUCCAUGAACCAUUGCUUCCUUUUCGAAGGGGCAUUUGAUGGCUAUAAUAAAUACCUGAAUUUUUUUCCUCAGGCAGUAUGAAAAAUUUCUGCAUUGAAAACACUCUUCUACUUCUAAAAACUCUUGGUGAUCAUCUGUCGUUGAGUGUGUUCGAAGAAUCAGAAGGUUUGAGGUACCACUACAUUCUGAUUGUGAGCCAUUUUAUCCUGGGGGGACAAAUUCCACAACCUCGGAUACUUGAGGGGAAUUAAUUUCUUUAGGACACUCUGUGAAUUCGGAGGACUUGGUUUUAUUUCCUAUUCAUCUUGUUUCUUUAAAUAACAUAUUUCUUUGAUAGUUCUUGAAGAACUUGCGUUAAAGGUGUUAAAAACUUCAUAGGUGUUCUUGAUAUAGUCUUGAACUUGUAUUGGAGUGUUUAUGCAAACAUGCAGACUGUGUACCCGAAAACAACAAUCUUAAGGAAAUAAUUACUAAUCUGUAUUAUUUCA
This 2015-nucleotide long non-coding RNA is filed under the name Capsicum annuum. RNAcentral's name for it is "long non-coding RNA (CANN_LNC014371)". Lineage: Eukaryota; Viridiplantae; Streptophyta; Magnoliopsida; Solanales; Solanaceae. The record is from RNAcentral.